RNAcentral lists this ribosomal RNA (459 nucleotides) under uncultured bacterium. RNAcentral's name for it is "partial 16S ribosomal RNA". It matches the Rfam family "Bacterial small subunit ribosomal RNA", at positions 338 to 795 of the family's 1533-position model. The record is from RNAcentral.
CCUACGGGCGGCAGCAGUGAGGAAUAUUGGUCAAUGGGCGGGAGCCUGAACCAGCCAAGCCGCGUGAGGGAAGAAGGUACAGCGUAUCGUAAACCUCCUUUGUCAGGGAACAAAGGCGGGGACUAGUCCCCGGAUGAGGGUACCUGAAGAAAAAGCAUCGGCUAACUCCGGGCCAGCAGCCGCGGUAAUACGGAGGAUGCGAGCGUUAUCCGGAUUUAUUGGGUUUAAAGGGUGCGCAGGCGGCCGGUUAAGUCAGGGGGAAAAGCCCGGGGCUUAACCCCGGCGAGCCGUUGAAACUGGCGGGCUGGAGUUGGAGAGAAGGACGCGGAAUGCGCGGUGUAGCGGUGAAAUGCUUAGAUAUCGCGCAGAACCCCGAUUGCGAAGGCAGCGUACCGGCUCCACACUGACGCUGAGGCACGAAAGCGUGGGUAUCGAACAGGAUUAGAUACCCCGGUAGUC